UACGUAGGGGGCAAGCGUUGUCCGGAAUCAUUGGGCGUAAAGAGCGUGUAGGCGGCCAGAUAGGUCAGCUGUGAAAACUCGGGGCUCAACCCUGAGACGUCGGUUGAAACCAUCUGGCUAGAGUCCGGAAGAGGAGUGUGGAAUUCCCGGUGUAGCGGUGAAAUGCGCAGAUAUCGGGAAGAACACCCGUGGCGAAGGCGGCACUCUGGGACGGUACUGACGCUGAGACGCGAAAGCGUGGGGAGCGAACAGG
Molecule: ribosomal RNA, 253 nt
Filed under: uncultured bacterium
Lineage: Bacteria
Description: partial 16S ribosomal RNA
Rfam family: Bacterial small subunit ribosomal RNA
Source: RNAcentral